GGGGAUAUAGCUCAGUGGGAGAGCGCUUGUCUGGCAGACAAGAGGUCGAGGGUUCAAGUCCCUCUAUCUCCA
Molecule: transfer RNA, 72 nt
Filed under: Acetohalobium arabaticum DSM 5501
Lineage: Bacteria; Bacillati; Bacillota; Clostridia; Halanaerobiales; Halobacteroidaceae
Rfam family: tRNA
About the family: Transfer RNA (tRNA) molecules are approximately 80 nucleotides in length. Their secondary structure includes four short double-helical elements and three loops (D, anti-codon, and T loops). Further hydrogen bonds mediate the characteristic L-shaped molecular structure. tRNAs have two regions of fundamental functional importance: the anti-codon, which is responsible for specific mRNA codon recognition, and the 3' end, to which the tRNAs corresponding amino acid is attached (by aminoacyl-tRNA synthetases). tRNAs cope with the degeneracy of the genetic code in two manners: having more than one tRNA (with a specific anti-codon) for a particular amino acid; and 'wobble' base-pairing, i.e. permitting non-standard base-pairing at the 3rd anti-codon position.
Source: Rfam by way of RNAcentral